This 265-nucleotide ribosomal RNA is filed under the name uncultured bacterium. Its description in RNAcentral is "partial 16S ribosomal RNA". It matches the Rfam family "Bacterial small subunit ribosomal RNA", at positions 57 to 305 of the family's 1533-position model. The record is from RNAcentral.
GCAAGUCGAGCGAGAAGCUUAUGACGAAUCCUUCGGGUGACAGAAUGAGUGGAAAGCGGCGGACGGGUGAGUAACGCGUGAGUAACCUACCCUAUACACAAGGAUAGCCAUUGGAAACGAUGAUUAAUACUUGAUAAGACUACAGAGCCGCAUGGUUCAGUGGUAAAAGCUCCGGCGGUAUAGGAUGGACUCGCGUAUCAUUAGCUAGUUGGUGAGGUAACGGCUCACCAAGGCUACGAUGAUUAGCCGGCCUGAGAGGGUGAAC